Molecule: unclassified non-coding RNA, 467 nt
Filed under: Hevea brasiliensis (rubber tree)
Lineage: Eukaryota; Viridiplantae; Streptophyta; Magnoliopsida; Malpighiales; Euphorbiaceae
Source: RNAcentral
GUUAUUUUUUCAACCGCUGUUUAACAGUAAUAUCAAAACAAGUUUGCGGUGAGAUAGAGAUAAUAAAAUGCAUUAUUGAUUUGAUUUGAUGAGGAUUGUACACUACAAAAACAAGAAAGAAUAGGCAAUUGAGAGGAACUGACAUAGCUUAUCAAGAAUUUCACCCAAUUGGUUUAUCUGUAUUCCCUUAAUGAUUAUGGGUGUGGCCACCCUCAAAGCUAAAACUUCAAGGUUUGGUAUAGGGAGAAAGGGAAGGAUAAGCUUUUAUUAAUAUGAAUGUUGACUCUUUGAGCAAUAUGUAGAGUUUAUUUUAUUAUUUUUUAAUGCUAUGCAUGUGGGGUCUGUCAAUAAAUUCAAAGGCUUACCCCUUUAUGGGAGUUUUGAAAUGCCAAAAGCCAAUCAUGGACAAAUGAUUUUUGACACUUUGUGGAUUCUUGUUUUAUUUACCUCUUUCACCAUGGAUCAAG